AUAAAUCUCUCUGCUGUUUGUUGUUCUUGCAGCUCAGACGAGUUCUGCCACACACCAUCUAUUUAAACAGAGUGUCUGUGUUUGAGGCAACCAGAUCCAGACAAGACAACAACCUUGUAAAACGGUCACAUGAGGACAGGAUGGUGCAGCAGUCUCCCGAUUAUGACAGGUUUGACUGCCUGGUUCAUGUAAACGUUAGACCAAGCGAGGACGUGGCAGAAGUGCAAGAGGAGAU
Long non-coding RNA from Epinephelus fuscoguttatus (brown-marbled grouper), 235 nucleotides. RefSeq lists it as uncharacterized. The transcript has 4 exons. The record is from RefSeq and is a predicted model, not a curated record. NCBI's taxonomy places the organism in Eukaryota, Metazoa, Chordata, Actinopteri, Perciformes, Serranidae.